This is a long non-coding RNA of Labeo rohita (rohu), 437 nucleotides long. RefSeq lists it as uncharacterized. The record is from RefSeq and is a predicted model, not a curated record. The transcript is spliced from 3 exons. NCBI's taxonomy places the organism in Eukaryota, Metazoa, Chordata, Actinopteri, Cypriniformes, Cyprinidae.
UAUACACCUAGUCCAACUUAAGUUGGUUCACAACCUGCUGAAGAAGAAAAAGAGGAGCCAUUUUCAAAGCUGGCCAUGACUAGUGACAUUAGCAGCCAUGAUGAUUUGAAAUGUUACAUUCUGUCAAAAAUGAUCUGACAGGAUGGAAGAGAAAGGUAUAAAAAGGGCUAAUGAGAAGAUAAGUGUGCUAAACUCGGAGGAGGCAGACAGUGAGGCGUUCAACUCGAGGCUUUUAUCUGCGCUCCACUGUUCUGCUUUAAUCAGUGCUGUGACUCAGGGCCCGUAUCAGAUUGACUACAGGCCUAGAAAGUAAACAUGUUGUAAAGCUCCUUUUUGUUUCUUAUUUACUUUGCUUUUCCCUGGUGUUCUCGUGAUUUGGAUGUGAUGUUCUCGCCCCAGAGGCCCCAUUCCAGUUCAGAAUAUGUCCUUUUACUUGU